RNAcentral lists this ribosomal RNA (320 nucleotides) under uncultured Prevotella sp. RNAcentral's name for it is "partial 16S ribosomal RNA". Lineage: Bacteria; Pseudomonadati; Bacteroidota; Bacteroidia; Bacteroidales; Prevotellaceae. The record is from RNAcentral.
GGAGUUUGGACCGUGUCUCAGUUCCAAUGUGGGGGACCUUCCUCUCAGAACCCCUACUGAUCGUAGGCUUGGUGGGCCGUUACCCCGCCAACAACCUAAUCAGACGCAUCCCCAUCCUAUAGCGGUAAACCUUUGAUUCAACUUAGAUGUCCGCAUUGAAUAACAUAGAGCAUUAAUCCGAUUUUCACCGGGCUAUUCUCUACUAUAGGGAAGGUUGGAUACGCGUUACUCACCCGUGCGCCGGUCGCCAUCAAUCAAAGCAAGCUUCGAUCAUGCUGCCCCUCGACUUGCAUGUGUUAAGCCUGUAGCUAGCGUUCAUC